GGAAGGGAACCCGGGGAACUGAAACAUCUAAGUACCCGGAGGAAAAGAAAGAAAACUCGAUUCCGUAAGUAGCGGCGAGCGAACGCGGAGGAGCCUAAACCGGAAUGCGUGCAUUCCGGGGUUACGGACUGCAUUUAAGAUUCUUUGAAGCUAACAGAACGGUUUUGGGAAAGCCGGCCGGAGAGGGUGAAAGCCCCGUACGUGAAAGCUGAUGAGACUGAGCAGGAUCCAGAGUACCACGAGACACGUGGAACCUUGUGGGAAAUCAGGGGGACCACCCCCUAAGGCUAAAUACUACUUAGUGACCGAUAGCGCAUAGUACUGUGAAGGAAAGGUGAAAAGGACCCCGGGAGGGGAGUGAAAGAGAACCUGAAACCCUGUGUCUACAAGCUGUGGAAGCACUUUAUAUGUGCGACCGCGUACUUUUUGUAGAACGGUCCGGCGAGUUACGCUUACUGGCAAGGUUAAGCACUUCAGGUGUGGAGCCGUAGGGAAACCAAGUCUUAAGAGGGCCUUAAGUCAGUAGGAGUAGACCCGAAACCGGGUGAUCUAUCCAUGUCCAGGUUGAAGCUGCCGUAAGAGGUAGUGGAGGACCGAACCCACAUCCGUUGAAAAGGGUGGGGAUGAGGUGUGGAUAGGGGAGAAAUUCCAAUCGAACCCGGAGAUAGCUGGUUCUCCUCGAAAUAGCUUUAGGGCUAGCCUCGAUACAGAUUUGCGGAGGUAGAGCACUGAAUUUCCUAGGGGGCGUCAAAGCCUACCGAAGAAUAUCAAACUCCGAAUGCCGCGUAAUCGAUUAUCGGGAGUCAGACUGCACGAGAUAAGUUGGGCGGUCAAAAGGGAAAGAGCCCAGACCUUCAGUUAAGGUCCCCAAGUGCGCGUUAAGUGGAAAAGGAUGUGGGAUUUCGAAGACAACCAGGAUGUUGGCUCAGAAGCAGCCAUCCAUUCAAAGAGUGCGUAAUAGCUCACUGGUCGAGAGGUCCUGCGCCGAAAAUGUCCGGGGCUGAAACGCGCCACCGAAACUAAGGAACCGAAAGGUUGGUAGAGGAGCAUUGCAUGCGGGAAGAAGCAGUACCGUAAGGAGCUGUGGACUGCAUGGAAGAGAGAAUGCCGGAAUGAGUAGCGAGAAUAAGGUGAGAAUCCUUAUGGCCGAAUAUCCAAGGUUUCCAGAGUAAAGCUGAUCUGCUCUGGGUAAGUCGGGGCCUAAGGCGAGGACGAGAGUCGUAGCCGAUGGACAACAGGUGGAGAUUCCUGUACUGCGGUAUGACAGAACUGUGGGGACACGUAAGGAAAGCGGAAGCCGGGAAUGGAAAGCCCGGUGCAAGCGGGGUACCAGUCACUUUGGCAAAUCCGGGUGGCAAUGGGAAGCCGUGAUGCGGAGCGAAAUAAAGUAGCGAAGUCCGUGAGCCAUGCGUCAAGAAAAGCCGCUAUCGUUUAUACCGUACCCGUACCGUAAACCGACACAGGUGGAUGAGGAGAGAAUCCUAAGGCCGGCGGAAGAAGCAUUGUCAAGGAACUCGGCAAAAUGGCCCCGUAACUUAGGGAUAAGGGGUGCCUGGGAAACCAGGCCGCAGAGAAUAGGCUCAAGCAACUGUUUAGCAAAAACACAGGUCUAUGCGAAACCGAAAGGUGAGGUAUAUGGGCUGACGCCUGCCCGGUGCUGGAAGGUUAAGAGGAGAGGUUAGCGGUAACGCGAAGCUUUGAAUUUAAGCCCCAGUAAACGGCGGCCGUAACUAUAACGGUCCUAAGGUAGCGAAAUUCCUUGUCGGGUAAGUUCCGACC
This 1779-nucleotide ribosomal RNA is filed under the name Blautia wexlerae. Its description in RNAcentral is "partial 23S ribosomal RNA". It matches the Rfam family "Bacterial large subunit ribosomal RNA", at positions 175 to 1988 of the family's 2925-position model. The record is from RNAcentral. Lineage: Bacteria; Bacillati; Bacillota; Clostridia; Lachnospirales; Lachnospiraceae.